UGUUUUCUCCUUGCGUCACAGUCCGUGCGUACUUCCGGGGUCCGCCAUUUUUUUUACCCCAGAACCAGCCGAGCGUGCCCAGGACAGAGCAUGAAAACGUGACGAAGUUUGUUGCUUUUUAUCAUAAAGUACAGUCAUGCAAGUAUGUGGCAUAGCUGGAUGUACCAAUAGACCGAGUUCACAGUAAGGUACUAGUUUCCAUAAUAGGCCCCAUCAAAGCUGAAGGCGAGGAGACGCAAAAGUUGUUUGAGGAAAGGCGAAGGUUAUGGAAGGUGGCAAUAAACAAGAAAGAUAUCACCUCGGAGGAGAAAUGGGAUGGAACCAUUGUCGGCGGUAUCAAAACCUAUCUGCAUGACAGUACCAGCCCACCCUGGCUUCCAACAUGCCAUUCAGCAUGUACUCCAGUAUCAGCCACCAGUAGAUAUAGGUGUGCCAGUCAGCGUGGGGAAUAAGGCAACGUGCAGAUGCAAUAACUUCACUUACACGUAUGAACCUUUAAAAAAAACAAGGCCAGGAUGUGAACACCCUCAACUUCAAAAUAAGAGUAUCAGUGAUGGCGAAUAUUCCUUUUACGCUGGUGAGGGCAUUGAACAAGAUAUUUAGCACACUACCUGUGAAGUACAGGGACCCACAAAUAUCACUAAAGACACACAAACUUUAAUAACAAUUGAAAAUGACAAUUAAGUUAGACUUGCAGAGUCUGACAGCAGAGUGCCCUUUACAUGUCGUGAUCUAUACAGGUUUGAAGUAUAUGAAAAAGAUCCAAACGAAGUUUAAUUUUAUACUGGAUUGCCCAAUUUUUGUUAUGCCUUAUAAGAUUAAGAAUGAUUUAUACUUUUCAAGACAUGUCAGUUCAGUUAAAUGUGUCACUUGCCACAAUUCAGGGAUGUUUUCAUUCCACACUCAGUAUUUUUUUUUUAUAAAAGGCUGAGUAUUUUGGUGCACUGGCCAGAAAGGGAGCAUGUUAGAGAACCGAUGCCAUGUGUUACUAAAAGAAUUUGAUGACAAAGUUGUUUUACUAGAUUGCUUCGAACUCAAAAUAGAAAAACCUAGUGAGUCUCUGAACAAGGUGUACACAUAAUCUAAUUACACUCAUCACCAUACAAUUAAGUGUCUGAUAGAGAUAGCCCCUUAAGGUUGAAUCACUUUUAUUUCUGAAGGGUGGGGUGGUAGAACUUCAGAUAAACAAGUCACAGAAGAGUGGACUUCUGGACAAUCUUUUACCUGGUGAUAUUGUCAUGGCAGAUAGUUUUUCCAUUGAAGAAUCUGUCAAUUUUUACCAUGCUAAAUUGGCAAUUCCCAGUUUUACAUGAGGAAGUCACGGCUGCAUCCAAUGGAAGUAGAAAAGACAAGAAAAAUUGCAAAUGCAUGCAUUAAUGUAGAACAGGUUAUUGGUUUGUUUUGUAGAAAAUUAAAAAAUUUUGACAGCAUUAUACCAUGGGAGGUUUUGAAGAUGAAAAGUGGAGAGAGUGUACCUUCAAUUGACAAAGAUGUGAAAGUGUGCUGUUGUCUCACAAAUUUAUGUCCUUCUGUUGUUCCAUUUGGUUAAAGGGAAGGAACAUGUGAAGAAAAGAUUGAAGUGUGUAUGUAUUUGCUAUACAUGAAGUAUUUUAAUUAUAAGUAAAACAAAGAAAUAAAUCCCAUGAAAAUAAAUUCAAAGUAAUUUAUUUGCCUUAUUUUUUGCUAUAAAAAAAUUCCACUUGA
Long non-coding RNA from Lingula anatina, 1704 nucleotides. RefSeq lists it as uncharacterized. Lineage: Eukaryota; Metazoa; Brachiopoda; Lingulata; Lingulida; Lingulidae. The record is from RefSeq and is a predicted model, not a curated record.